UGAAACAAACAUAAGGCUGGCACUAUAGCCAACCUUGUUUUUUAGUUCUCUUUACGCUGCUGUAGCGGAGGCAUUUUUCUUAGUAGCUACCAAGCAAUAAAGCUACCUGCAUCGCAACAAAGGAUCAGCCUUUUAGAAACCAUAUACAAGAUCUAAAAUCAAAGGGAACUGUAGAUACUCUCCAAAAAGGUAACAUAAAUCUAUGACCAAACCUAAGAAAAUUCUAGAUUGCUGAAAAUUACCCUACAGGAAGUGCCAACUAAUGAUCCUGUAAUUCUAUUUUUCGAACUUCAGCACAAAAUGGUAAGAAAGAUAAAAUACGAGCCUGUUUUAUAGCAACAUAAUAAUAAUACCUCAGUUCAAAAUAAACAUAUCAGCACAUGGGGAAAGAGGAAAACAAACACUAAGCUUGCAAUAUAGUUACAUAUAGUAUUAUUAUUUCAUUUGGGAACGAAGUUGGACUAAUUUGGAUACAUUGGGAAAUUUACUUUAUACCUACUAUUCCAUCUGGUUUUUGAUUUCUAGUUUAAUUUUAUUUGUAGCUAUGAUUGGAGCUAUAGUACUGACUAUGCAUAGCAACAGGUCCAAAGGCAUCUACAACUAGGAACUGAACCCAAGGGAAAUACCUACAAGCAGUCUUGGAGCAGGGACACUUGGAAAAUUGGAACUGGUCCUGCAAACCCAGAAGAUGCAACAAUAAAAAUGGCAUCAAUAUUCGUAAAUAGAAGUACAAUUACUAACUUUCGGUUGUAUGUAACAAGAUUUUGUAUGUAAGGAGUAAAGAAGAGGAAUGAAAUGAGGAAUGGACAUUACCAGCCACAAACAACAAGAAGAGGAGACAACAUAAUGAGUAAGAGGUCUUCAAACCUAAAACAUUCCAGUCCACUCUUUAUUCACAUUGGAAACAAACCUAAGUUUAGAUGAACUUUUGAAGCAAAAAAACAAUGACCUUUGCUAUAUUCCACCUGAGCGGGAAGAACAACAAUGCACAUAAUUGUACUCAAAAGUCAAAGAAAAAGGAGAACAAAAAUGAUCAUAGACAAGCAAAGUGUUUGAUAAUAUAAUCUUUAGAAAUAGGGGCCGGUGCUCAGAAACAACAGUUCGUAAUUUGACAUCAGAAGCAACGGACAAAGACAGUGAUCACAAGCCUAGAAUGAAGAAGAACAUAUUUACCACUUCAUAGACAGUAAGCACAAUCUUAGACUGCACAAUUAUGUGAUUAUUGACAUCAUAGACAAUUAUCAUAAGCACGUCUGACUGGAAAACCAAAGCCGAUGACCAAAGUAGAGAGUGGAGGAAAUCAUCAUAGGCAACACCAUCAGAAGCUAACUCCAAUGGCAAGCUAUCUGACCUAAUAAGCAAAGCGAGUAGGCAAUGAAUACUAUAUCUCACUAACUAGGAUCUACCAUGGCUACGGCCAAGGGGUGGCCAAACCCAGCGGCUUUGCACAAAGAGAUGCCCAAAAUAGAAUAAACAUUACUCAUGAUCAUUGCCUCAGCCAUGAAUAUAGCACAU
RNAcentral lists this long non-coding RNA (1515 nucleotides) under Sorghum bicolor (sorghum). RNAcentral describes it as "long non-coding RNA (SBIC_LNC007495)". Lineage: Eukaryota; Viridiplantae; Streptophyta; Magnoliopsida; Poales; Poaceae. The record is from RNAcentral.